RNAcentral lists this ribosomal RNA (631 nucleotides) under Salmonella enterica subsp. enterica serovar Glostrup. Its description in RNAcentral is "partial 23S ribosomal RNA". It matches the Rfam family "Bacterial large subunit ribosomal RNA", at positions 566 to 1190 of the family's 2925-position model. The record is from RNAcentral. Lineage: Bacteria; Pseudomonadati; Pseudomonadota; Gammaproteobacteria; Enterobacterales; Enterobacteriaceae.
ACACACAAAACAAGCGGUGAGUGCUUUGGGGUGGGGUGACUGCGUACCUUUUGUAUAAUGGGUCAGCGACUUAUAUUCUGUAGCAAGGUUAACCGAAUAGGGGAGCCGUAGGGAAACCGAGUCUUAACCGGGCGUUAAGUUGCAGGGUAUAGACCCGAAACCCGGUGAUCUAGCCAUGGGCAGGUUGAAGGUUGGGUAACACUAACUGGAGGACCGAACCGACUAAUGUUGAAAAAUUAGCGGAUGACCUGUGGCUGGGGGUGAAAGGCCAAUCAAACCGGGAGAUAGCUGGUUCUCCCCGAAAGCUAUUUAGGUAGCGCCUCGUGAAUUCAUCUCCGGGGGUAGAGCACUGUUUCGGCUAGGGGGCCAUCCCGGCUUACCAACCCGAUGCAAACUGCGAAUACCGGAGAAUGUUAUCACGGGAGACACACGGCGGGUGCUAACGUCCGUCGUGAAGAGGGAAACAACCCAGACCGCCAGCUAAGGUCCCAAAGUCAUGGUUAAGUGGGAAACGAUGUGGGAAGGCCCAGACAGCCAGGAUGUUGGCUUAGAAGCAGCCAUCAUUUAAAGAAAGCGUAAUAGCUCACUGGUCGAGUCGGCCUGCGCGGAAGAUGUAACGGGGCUAAACCAU